GAUGAACGCUGGCGGCGUGCCUAAUACAUGCAAGUCGAGCGAACGGACGAGAAGCUUGCUUCUCUGAUGUUAGCGGCGGACGGGUGAGUAACACGUGGAUAACCUACCUAUAAGACUGGGAUAACUUCGGGAAACCGGAGCUAAUACCGGAUAAUAUUUUGAACCGCAUGGUUCAAAAGUGAAAGACGGUCUUGCUGGCACUGAUAGAUGGAUCCGCGCUGCAUUAGCUAGUUGGUAAGGUAACGGCUUACCAAGGCAACGAGGCAUAGCCGACCUGUGCGGGUGAUCGGCCACACUGGACCUGAGACACGGUCCAGACCCCUACGGGAGGCAGCAGUAGGGAAUCUUCCGCAAUGGGCGGAAGGCUGACGGAGCACCGCCGCGUGAGUGAUAAAGGUCUUCGGAUCGUAAAACUCUGUUAUUAGGGAAGAACAUGUGUGUAAGUAACUGUGCACAUCUUGACGGUACCUAAUCAGAAAGCCACGGCUAACUCCGUG
RNAcentral lists this ribosomal RNA (497 nucleotides) under uncultured bacterium. RNAcentral describes it as "partial 16S ribosomal RNA". It matches the Rfam family "Bacterial small subunit ribosomal RNA", at positions 28 to 507 of the family's 1533-position model. The record is from RNAcentral.